ACACACACACACACACACACACACACACACACACUAUUUGGCAUUUACAGAACAGCAAACAACUUAAAACAAACAGUGUGUGUGUGUGUGUGUGUGUGUGUGUGUGUGU
Non-coding RNA from Podarcis lilfordi (Lilford's wall lizard), 109 nucleotides. NCBI's taxonomy places the organism in Eukaryota, Metazoa, Chordata, Lepidosauria, Squamata, Lacertidae. The record is from the annotation of a GenBank genome assembly.